This 3933-nucleotide long non-coding RNA is filed under the name Vitis vinifera (wine grape). Its description in RNAcentral is "long non-coding RNA (VVIN_LNC000444)". The record is from RNAcentral. Lineage: Eukaryota; Viridiplantae; Streptophyta; Magnoliopsida; Vitales; Vitaceae.
UUGACUUCAUUGAAGUCACCUUCUCAGCUUCUCAUGGCAAAGGUGUCACUGUGGAUGACUGCAUCUCUCAAUCCUCUAUAGCCAUUAGCCAAAUCAUGGCAACAACUUGGGAAAACAAACAUGUCUUCCAUCUCUUUGUCCAUGUUUCUCAUUGAGAUGAGACGACUAGAAACCCUAGCUUCCAAAAACCACCAAUUGGAUUUAUUGCAAUUUCAGGUAUGCACCACUCAAUCUUCUUAAUUAAUUAUUCAAAAUCAAGUUAUUGUUCUUGAUUAAUUAGAUUAUAUUUGUUAGCAAUCAUUCGGUUUACCAUGCAUCGGUUACCAUUGCAACCAUAUAUAUGGAUUUUCUCUCUUUUUUUAUUCUUCUUCUAACUUUCUACAUUCUUCCCUAUUUUUCCACAUUCACUUCCCUUUCAAUCUACUACUUUCAUUGUUUUUUUUUCCCUAAAAAACUUUGUGGGAUUAGGUUAUUACUUUAGCUAGAAAUUUGCUCAGAAUCGAGGGUAGAUAGAUAUCUUUUCCAGAACGUGGUCGAGUUGCUCAUUGUUAUAGUGAGAUAUUUUAAAAGGUCAAAUUAUUUGAAUUAAUUUUGAUGAAUUAUAAAUUGUUUAAUUUGGUUUGUUUUCAAUUAUAUUGCAAUUUACCUCAUGUUUUGAGGUUGUACAACAUGGUUGUUGUUUUUUGCUUUUCGAUGUUAAAUAUUCAAAAAAUUUUUGUUGAUUUUGCCUUCCUAAUGUUAAAUGAUGUUAAAUAUUCUGAAUUUUUUUUGUUGAUUUUUGCUUUCUAAUGUUAAAUAUUUUGAACGUCUAAUUGAUGAAUUUUAGACGAAAAAAUGCAAUUACAGAUGUUCCUUAAUAGGUUUUCUUCGCUUACUUCAAGCUUUGAUUUGGGUUUAGUUUUUUAGCUUUGUUUUUCAAGAUUUCUGCAUCCUAAUGGUGUAGAGUAUAUGUUACAGCGAUUGAGGCAAUAACACUAUAGGCAAACGUGGGAGUCUACCAUUUUUAUAUCUUCAAAAUAUAAGGAAAAACACACAUACAAGGCUUAAACACCCAUCUUGUUUUUUUUUUUUUUCCAAAAACCUUGUGGGAAUUUGGAUUAUUCCUUUAGUUUCUUAGGUAUUACAUCACACUAUGCUAUCGAAUAUAAUUUUCCUUUUUAAGAAAAACUCCCUCAUCUUUGAAUUUGGUAUAAUAAACUGAUUGAUUGCAUUUUUUAAUGUCAGUUCUCUAUUUAAUUUCUUUUCAUAUGGUUUCUCGGUAGCCAAGCAGGCUAUUAAGCAUUUCCUCUUUCCCUUUCAUAGAAAAAGAUGGAAUAGAAGCUUCUUUGGUAUAGGUUUCCAUGUGAUCAAAACAUUCUAUUAUAAUGGCGAUGUUUAUUUGCAUGUUGUAGUGGGUUAAUGUAAUCUUUAACAAUGAUUUGUACUAUUCCAUUAAGUUUUAGUAUGAAUUUUAAAUCAACUUUGUAUGCAUUCAUGAAUAUAUUGCGCUCUUGGAAUCAUAUGUUCUAGGUCAUAAAUAAUUUCAAUACCUCUUCUUUAUAUUUCUAUUGCAAUUCAAAUAUUGAAGACCCAGAAACGAAAUCUUCUUGUUACUACCAUAGCUCAAAUAGAGUUUUCAAAUACUGAAUGGUUCAAUGGAAUUGAUCUCUUGUUUUUUCCAAUUUGUUGUUUAUUUUGCUUCAUAAUUUUCCAAUGUUAUGAGAAGGGUUUACACAAGUUUAGUAGGUUAGUAGGAAAUUGUUUCAAAUGUCUAUGUAGUUUAAUGUUAGAUGUUGUUAAUUGAAUCCUUUUUGUUUAUUUGUUGGUGAAAAUAUCUAUUUAGAAGUUAUUAUACCAACUAAAACUCGUCAAGCAUUGGAUGUAAUUAACUGCGACUCAGGUAUGAGAAAAAAUUGUACCAUAAAUUGAUUUGUUUAUGCUCCAUUUGGUCCCAAAAAAUUUAGGAAAAAUUACUGGAGAAUGUUGAAAAUUAAUUACAAGAGACUAUUUUGGUAUUUUUCUUUCUUGCCCAAUGAUAUUUCUAAAACUUUCUAGGUGAAUCCUUAAAAUAGAGUUUGUCUUUCAAAUAAAGACCUUCUAUAUUUGUUGCCUCGCCAAGACAAAGUGGAAUUCUUAGGCUUGGGGGAGUGAGAUUUUUGUUUUGUUUUAAAAUUAUCAAAUGGUUUGGCAUCUUUUGUUGCAUAUGAAACAACUUACAAAAAUAUUGUUCUUAUUUUGGUUAUUUUGAAAGUGAGUUGUUGGAGUUAAGACAUGUUAGAUGAUGCAUUAUUGUGCAUAUAUCUAAGGUGUGCUUAGUGGGACAUGAUCACAUUCAUUGGUUAUUGGAGCUAAGUUAUUGAAUUCUAGAGAGCAAGUAAUAAUAAAAGUUGGAGUCAUUUUCCAAAUGUAGAUUAGAUAUAUGAUUCACUUGGCUUUUUUCUUUUUCUUUUUUAUCAUGGAGUACGGUUGACCUUGAAAUAUGUCUUUCCUUAUCCUCUAUUGAGUAACUGAGCUUUCCUAAUGAGAUAGUAGUUGACAAGUGAACUUAGUACAUUGAGUUAUAAGGUGUUGUUGCCUAUCAAAACAAUACUAAUAAUAAGAAUAAUGUUAAGUGGUUGAACAUCACACUCAAGGUUUAAAAUACCCAUUAACAUUGAUGAAUCCAAUUUUAAUAACAUAAGCAAACAGAGUGGUACUACAGAAUUACUUAGAAAAGCAAAAUUGAUAACAUGGGAUGAAGCACCAAUGACAAAGCAAUGGGAUAUUGAGGCAUUUGAUAGGACUUUAAAAGAUAUUAUGGAUACACACUUAGUAUUUGAUGGAAAGGUUAUUGUAUUUGGAAGAGAUUUUCGACAAGUACUAUCAAUUGUACCUCAAGGCAUAAAAGUUAAAACUAUUAAUACAAGUUUAGUCAUGUCUUAUCUUUGGCCUAAAAUGAAGAACUUAAGAUUAGCUACAAACAUGAGGUCUCAUUCCAAUACCAUUUUUAGUCACUUCCUUUUACAUGUUGGGAAUGGUGAUGAACCCAUAACAGAUGAAGAUAUGAUAGAAAUCCCUAAUGAAAUGUUGAUUAAAUAUGGAGAUGAAGAGAAUCCAGAAGAAUUUUUUAUUAACAACGACUUUCAUUUACUCAAAGAUCAUGCAUACUCAAUUGAAUAUAUCAUAAAACAAGAUAUCCUUGCAACAAAAAAUGACGAUGUUGAUAUGCUAAAUGAAAAGCUCAUUGAAAUUUUUGCAGAGGAAUCUAAAACAUAUUACAAUUUCGAUUUCACAGUUGAUAAUACUCAAAAUUAUUACCAAGAAGAAUUUUGAAUACAAUAACACCAAAUGGGCUUCCUCCUCAUAAGUUAGUCUUAAAGAAGAAUUGUCUUAUCAUGCUCUUACAGAACUUAGAUCCAUCAAAUGGACUUUGCAAUGGAACUAGAAUAAUGUGCAAAGGUUUUGAAUCAAAUGUAAUAUCUGCAAAAAUUAUAACAAGAAAAUAUGCUGGAAAACAAGUGUUACUUCCAAGAAUACCUUUUUCACCCGCAGAAAAUGAAGGAUACCCUUUUCAUUUCAAGUUAUCCCAAUUGCCAAUUCGACUUAGUUUUGCAAUAACUAUAAACAAAACACAAGGCCAAACAAUCCCAUAUGUCAGGGUAUAUUUACCACAAAAUGUCUUCUCGCAUGAUCAAUUAUAUGUUACAUUAUCAGGUGGUACUUCAAUGACAAUAACAAAAGUUCUCAUUAAACAAAGCACUCCUAAAUGUAUCAUUAGCAAAAGAUCUUAUACCAUGAAUAUGGUAUAUAAAGAAGUUUUAAUUCCAAGAAGGUCAUGAACCUAUCUAUGCUUUCUAUUUUUCAUUAUUUUAAUUAAUUAUUCCUCUUUUUUUUUUUUCAUAUUGUUAGAUUAGAUUUCUUGUCCUAACUAAUUUCAUUCUUCAAUAUUUUUGCAGCCACAAUGUCUAAUGAAGA